This 367-nucleotide ribosomal RNA is filed under the name uncultured bacterium. RNAcentral's name for it is "partial 16S ribosomal RNA". It matches the Rfam family "Bacterial small subunit ribosomal RNA", at positions 338 to 702 of the family's 1533-position model. The record is from RNAcentral.
ACUACGGGCGGCAGCAGUGAGGAAUAUUGGUCAAUGGACGAGAGUCUGAACCAGCCAAGUAGCGUGAAGGAUGACUGCCCUAUGGGUUGUAAACUUCUUUUAUAAAGGAAUAAAACGAGGCACGUGUGCCUUUUUGCAUGUACGUUAUGAAUAAGGAUCGGCUAACUCCGUGCCAGCAGCCGCGGUAAUACGGAGGAUCCGAGCGUUAUCCGGAUUGAUUGGGUUGAAAGGGAGCGUAGAUGGGUUGUUAAGUCAGUUGUGAAAGUUUGCGGCUCAACCGUAAAAUUGCAAUUGAUACUGGCAGUCUUCAGUACAGUUGAGGUAGGCGGAAUUCGUGGUGUAGCGGUUAAAUGCUUAUAUCUCACGA